AGCCCCGUGGUGUAGCGGCCAAUCAUACCAGCCUUUGGAGCUGGUGACCCCGGUUCGAAUCCGGGCGGGGCUA
RNAcentral lists this transfer RNA (73 nucleotides) under Candidatus Woesearchaeota archaeon. RNAcentral's name for it is "tRNA-Gln". It matches the Rfam family "tRNA". Rfam says of the family: Transfer RNA (tRNA) molecules are approximately 80 nucleotides in length. Their secondary structure includes four short double-helical elements and three loops (D, anti-codon, and T loops). The record is from RNAcentral. Lineage: Archaea; Nanobdellati; Candidatus Woesearchaeota.